This 839-nucleotide ribosomal RNA is filed under the name Xylaria sp. XVM-2021a. RNAcentral describes it as "partial large subunit ribosomal RNA". Lineage: Eukaryota; Fungi; Ascomycota; Sordariomycetes; Xylariales; Xylariaceae. The record is from RNAcentral.
ACCAGGGAUUGCCCUAGUAACGGCGAGUGAAGCGGCAACAGCUCAAAUUUGAWAUCUGGCCCUCGGGUCCGAGUUGUAAUUUGUAGAGGAUGCUUUUGGCGCGGUGCCUUCCGAGUUCCCUGGAACGGGACGCCUUAGAGGGUGAGAGCCCCGUACGGUUGGACACCAAGCCUCUGUAAAGCUCCUUCGACGAGUCGAGUAGUUUGGGAAUGCUGCUCUAAAUGGGAGGUAAAUUUCUUCUAAAGCUAAAUAUUGGCCAGAGACCGAUAGCGCACAAGUAGAGUGAUCGAAAGAUGAAAAGCACUUUGAAAAGAGGGUUAAAUAGCACGUGAAAUUGUUGAAAGGGAAGCGUUUGCGACCAGACCUUUUCCCGGCGGAUCAUCCGGUGUUCUCACCGGUGCACUCUGCCGGGUCGAGGCCAGCAUCGGUUUCCGCAGGGGGAUAAAAGCGGGGGGAACGUAGCUCCCUCGGGAGUGUUAUAGCCCCUCGCAUAAUACCCUUGCGGGGACCGAGGACCGCGCCUCCGGGCAAGGAUGCUGGCGUAAUGGUCGUCAACGACCCGUCUUGAAACACGGACCAAGGAGUCGAACAUUUGUGCGAGUGUUUGGGUGUCAAACCCUCACGCGUAAUGAAAGUGAACGGAGGUGAGAGCCCUCGCGGGUGCAUCAUCGACCGAUCCUGAUGUCUUCGGAUGGAUUUGAGUAAGAGCAUAACUGUUCGGACCCGAAAGAUGGUGAACUAUGCGUGGAUAGGGUGAAGCCAGAGGAAACUCUGGUGGAGGCUCGCAGCGGUUCUGACGUGCAAAUCGAUCGUCAAAUCUGCGCAUGGGGGCGAAAGAC